AGUCACAGUGGGCUCCCCGUGCCAGAUGCCUGUGGGUCCAUCAUGGUGACAAAAGCUGAAUUUCCCCCUCUUUGGGGGCGAAAGGGAGCAGGGAAGGGAGCGCGCAGCCUCCCCCCUCCCCUCCCCGCCCUCCGCGCUGCAUAGAUCUCCUUUUCUCCAAGUGUUUCCUCUUUAAUUAUGACCUGUUCCCCCUCCCUCUCNNNNNNNNCCCGCCCGCCGUGGGAGGAGCCCGCCGGAGGAAGCCGUGCGCCGGGGCUGCACAGAAUGGAUCUGCUCGGAGCGGGGACGUCGCUGAGCAGCCCGGCUUCCCGCGGCGGCUAGGAGCCGGCCACUGGCCUGGGCGGGCUGCGGGGACCGGGCCCCGGGAGCACCGAGGCGCGACCCCGGGAGCAUCGCGGCCGAGGCUGAGCGCGGCCAGCCCCCGGGAGGACAAACUCACGGCCACCCCAAGUUGCGCCGCCGGCCCCCCCUCGCUGCGCUGAGGAAUGAGACCUCUCCAGCUCGAUCUGCUCUUCGUGUGCUUCUUCCUUUUCAGUCAAGGUGAGAAACCGGCGCAGGCAUUUUUAAUAGGGGCCCACCAGAAGGAGCCAGGCCCGGUACCCGCCCCCCCUCCCGCCUGGGAACCGCUACCCUCUGAUGCGCCCUCUGGUUGGGCAGGAAGAUCACAGCAGGCCCGAACCUGCACUUGCACUUGGACUCUCAUGAGGGCAGCAAUCCUGAUUUUAAUGGUGGUGCUUGCAGCACAGCGAUUGGGGCCCCCAUCUUCCCGCAAGGUCAGUGGACACCCCGGUGUUCAUGGAGCAGAGUCUGGUGGGGGCUGCUGCCCUGGGGGACGUCUGUUCCCUUGCGUGUCGCAUCACUGCUGUCCGCAGGGAGUGAGGAGCAAAACCAGGUGGGAAUCCCCUGUCCGGCCACACUAGCUUUGUCCUGCAUUCCAAAUCGAGGGGGGUUUAUUUCCAGCGAGGGGAGUGUUACGGGGACCCCCCUCCAUCUGUGGAGGCACAGAUGCCAUUGCGUCGUGUUUCCUUUUCCCAGGGGGACACCCAGAAUGGACAGUUCGGUGUGCACGUCCAAUAUGAAUGUAGCUACCGCGGAUGAUUGGGAUCCUUCUCUCACCUUCACUGCAAAGAAUGCCGCGUCCCGCUUUCCGCCCGGGCUUGAGGGUGCCGGGGUUUGAGGAUGCUCUCUCCGCAUCCACACUGUUGCCAUAGAGGGAGGAUCUCCACCACCAUACUUAACGUGAACUUUCAUUAACUUUCUGCUUCUGAGCUGCUGAAGGAGCUAGGGAUCAAACAUUGUGCUUUUCCCGCGCCCCCCCCUUCCUCUUCUGAUUGUGAAAAUGAGUACUCUGGCUGUAUAUUUCUAGAAGUCAGUAAAUGUCAAUAUUGGAUAAGUGUUUCCUUUAUAUCACUGCAAUUUAGCAUAAGCUGCUUGGAAACAAAUGUCUUCCGUAAGCAUACAAUGUUUCCGUGAGUACACAGUCAACACCACUGCAAGGAUUAAAUAAAUGUCAGCUUUCCUCGGGUACA
RNAcentral lists this long non-coding RNA (1529 nucleotides) under Vulpes vulpes (red fox). RNAcentral's name for it is "lncRNA (ENSVVUG00000020060.1)". The record is from RNAcentral. Lineage: Eukaryota; Metazoa; Chordata; Mammalia; Carnivora; Canidae.